UGGAUCCAGACUUUGAUUAUGGCUCAGGAUGAACGCUAGCUACAGGCUUAACACAUGCAAGUCGAGGGGAAACGACAUCGAAAGCUUGCUUUUGAUGGGCGUCGACCGGCGCACGGGUGAGUAACGCGUAUCCAACCUGCCCACCACUUGGGGAUAACCUUGCGAAAGUAAGACUAAUACCCAAUGAUAUCUCUAGAAGACAUCUGAAAGAGAUUAAAGAUUUAUCGGUGAUGGAUGGGGAUGCGUCUGAUUAGCUUGUUGGCGGGGUAACGGCCCACCAAGGCUACGAUCAGUAGGGGUUCCGAGAGGAAGGUCCCCCACAUUGGAACUGAGACACGGUCCAAACUCCUACGGGAGGCAGCAGUGAGGAAUAUUGGUCAAUGGACGAGAGUCUGAACCAGCCAAGUAGCGUGCAGGAUGACGGCCCUAUGGGUUGUAAACUGCUUUUAUAAGGGAAUAAAGUGAGUCUCGUGAGACUUUUUGCAUGUACCUUAUGAAUAAGGACCGGCUAAUUCCGUGCCAGCAGCCGCGGUAAUACGGAAGGUUCGGGCGUUAUCCGGAUUUAUUGGGUUUAAAGGGAGCGUAGGCCGGAGAUUAAGCGUGUUGUGAAAUGUAGAUGCUCAACAUCUGCACUGCAGCGCGAACUGGUUUCCUUGAGUACGCACAAAGUGGGCGGAAUUCGUGGUGUAGCGGUGAAAUGCUUAGAUAUCACGAAGAACUCCGAUUGCGAAGGCAGCUCACUGGAGCGCAACUGACGCUGAAGCUCGAAAGUGCGGGUAUCGAACAGGAUUAGAUACCCUGGUAGUCCGCACGGUAAACGAUGGAUGCCCGCUGUUGGUCUGAAUAGGUCAGCGGCCAAGCGAAAGCAUUAAGCAUCCCACCUGGGGAGUACGCCGGCAACGGUGCAACUCAAAGGAAUUGACGGA
Molecule: ribosomal RNA, 926 nt
Filed under: uncultured organism
Description: bacterial SSU rRNA
Rfam family: Bacterial small subunit ribosomal RNA
Source: RNAcentral